This 7226-nucleotide long non-coding RNA is filed under the name Diabrotica virgifera virgifera (western corn rootworm). RNAcentral describes it as "uncharacterized LOC126882262". The record is from RNAcentral. Lineage: Eukaryota; Metazoa; Arthropoda; Insecta; Coleoptera; Chrysomelidae.
ACGGUCACGUUACUAACUUAACUCUUUAAUUAUUUUUAUAAUUAUUUUCCUUCGCUCUCCCAUUUAAAUUCUCUAAUUCCUCGUAUAGGACCACUGACGUGACGUCAUACCUCGGUGAUGGAACAUACUCCACCUAUCGAGAAUUAUUUCGCGUUCGGUGAGUUUGACGUCGUACUCGUGGAAGGAGAGACGAAUGUUCAUCACUUGACCUGUGGCUGUAGGUGAAGUUGGUUGCUACCAUAGAAUAUUAGAAUGGCGGUUGGUUUUUUAUUUUAUAACAUCAGUGAAAAGAAAAAAAUUACCACAAAUGGUUUUCUACAGUAGGGUGGCAUGUGGGUAGAACAACCCCUCUUGGAAUCGGAAUAGAAAUCACCGCCAUUUUGGAGUAACCACAUGGUGAACUCAUAACCCUUUGACACCUAGGGAAACCACUACAGCCACAGUCAAGUCAUCAUGGGAAUACGUCUUUUUGGGAACAAGCUAUGGGAGCGUUCCAGCUCAAUUUUCGUCUUGGCACCUGGGCCUACAGGAGUCAUGGGGUCGCACCAUCCUGGUGCAUCAUUUUCUAGGAUGCAACCGCAACCUUGUUUGGGAACAUUUAGUGAGGUGUUGUAGUAACUAUUGGUUUUUUUAUAUUUCAGACUAUCUGUUAAAUACACUAUGUUUUUUUUCCAGAUUUAGGUUACCUCUGGUUUUUUUUUUGACAUAUUUGUAUAUUAGAUUAUUUGGUUCCCAAACUUUGUAUCUACGGUAACUUCUUGUGCACAGGAAUAAGCCUAGAGAAAAUUAGGUUUUUAAUACUUUAUUAUUGCUUUGAUAUUGGUUUAUGUAAUUCGGGUAAAUUUAUUUUGUAAUAUUACUAGCUUGUUUCCCAAAUAUUUUACUGUUAUUCGCUUUAUUCCAUUUGUUCGGUUAAUUUAGGUCAUCGUCGGUAUUUAUCUCAACUUCAUUUCUACUUUAGUCAAUUGUAUAUUUAACUUUAUUUAUUCAUUAUUGUAUUUUCCCUUAGUGAGGCUUGGGCCUAUUUAUUUGUAUUAUUUUCAUCUUUGUCGGUUUCAAUUCAGUUGUACGUAGCAGGCGUACUAUAACCAUUUGGUAGAAGACUUAUGUAAUUUUGUACCCUAUAUGUAAGUAAGAGGUACUAAUACCUGUAAUUUUGUAACAGAUAACAUUAUUGUUGUUAUCUUAGAGAUGACUUUUUGUAUAACUUAUGUCAUUUUAGAGUCACAUGAUAUACACUUUGUGUAACUCAGAGAUUGUCAAAAAUCUAGUAGUUAUUUUUAAUAAAUAUGUAUUUAUUUUGUAUAUCAAUUAUUUUAUUAUUCCUUUAUGUUCAUUAUUACAGGUUUAAUAUAUUUAAUAUUGGAAAGCAGUGUAAGGUACCUGGGAAAAUGAUCAAAGAUCAUUUUCAUGGCGCCCAUGAUUAGUUAGUUUUAUUUAUUUUGUUCGUUUUUAGUCAUUAUUCAUCUCCAUUCAUUUUCAGUAUAUUAUUCUUAUUUUAUUAUUUCAUCUUCUAGUCAUCAUUACUAUCUAUAUAGAGCUACUGUUCUUCGACAGGCAUGCAAACGAGCCGUAUCCAUCCUUGAGUGUCAAGUUGCUCUCUUGCAUCUAUAGCUAGCCAACUCUAUUCAGUUUGCCUCUAUCUCUUCCCACUUCUACUUCUAUCCCCUCUAAUUCCCCUUUCUUCAGUACUACUGCAAAGUAGUAUUUUUUCCUAUUGCGGCUUCUCAACGUAGAAGCCACUGCCCCCUUUUCUUUACACAUCCCACAUUCUCUUUUCUUCAGUAUUCAACUAUCUAGUCUUUUCUUUAUUUUUUCCUUACUUCUGUUGGAGUACCUAUAUCUUUCUUUUUACCUUCACUCCAACAGAAGUUUUCUUAUUUUGUUACACUGGCUGCCCAAUGCGUGGUGCCAACCGUUUUAUGGUUCUAAGACAGUAGUUCUUUUAGUUCAAUUUUCUUUUAUUGGAAUUUUCUGUAUUAUUACCUUCUUGAUAUCUUUGUAUACAUGUUAUUUCUGAUUUAUUUUUGGUCUUUAAAAUUUUAUUAAUACUAAACAUGUAGACUUAUACUGCUUUUGGUUUUGAUUAGUUUAUUUCGAUACCUCAUUUUUAGUUUUAGUGGUACAGCUCAUAUCUUAGUUUGGAUUUUGUAUUUUUAUUGGAAACUUAUUUAUGUAUUUAGAUUGAGUAUACAUAACUGACAUUAUGUUCUAUUAGUUAAAUUUUUAUUCCUUCUACCAAUGGUAGUACGUUUGCGCGUACAAUUAAUCGUUGAAUAUAUGCAUACAUUUUUUUUCUAGUAUGGUUAUAUUUUAUACAUAACUAGAAAUCAUUUUCAGUAUUUAGGUAUUUUAUUUACGCUAUUGAUUUGAUUAUUUUUAUAUAUUUGCUGGCAUUUUUUAUUUGUUGGUGUGUCGCUAAUAUUUUCUCCAUAUGUAUCUUUGUCUCACAAACUUUAGAUUAUAUUUUAUAUUUGUUAUUUUUGAUAUUUGGGUUGUUUGAUAAGACAGGCACACACCAUAAAGCACAAUCAGUCCACAACAUUAGCUUCUACACAUGAUACGUUGAAUUCGCAUGGUUCGGAUGAUUACAGAUGGUCAUCCAAAUUAUUUUUCUUUAAUUGGUAGUGUUAAACAUAACAAUUAUAAUUAUUGUAUAGUAAAGUAGUUCCAUUAUCCACCUCAGUUUCUAGUUUUAUUAUUGUUGAUAAUAAUAUUAUAUCAAUGUGGGUACCAUAAAAUAAUGCUCAUAGAAAUCAGAUACUUUAGGUUGAGAUUUAAACAUAAAUCUUUUAUUAGUUAGAAACAUUGGUACUUUUUCUAUUAAGUUUAGAACAAUCCUCAGAAGAAGAUUAACUUAACGGUGUCGUUCAAGCUAAUCUCUUCUUCUGUUUGUCUUUAGCUUAGCUCAAUCGUUAGUAUGGUUAGAAAUUUUAGUCAGAUUUUUUUUUACCAUCUGAUAAUGCAGGUACCCACAUACAUUGCUUGAUUUCAUCUUUGGCUUAGUUUUGAUGACUUUUAUUUAUUACUUAUUAAUUUAAUUAUUAUGUAGUACUUUAUGUAUGAGUUUAUUUUUUUUUGGUAUUAGGUAUGGUGCAUUUUAAUUAUUAUUAUGAGUCAAUAUUAUUAAUUGCUAAUCCUGUCAGUAGGAUUAUCCAAUUAAUAAAAACUUCACUUGUAUUUUUGUCUAGUUUUUGCACACCUAACCCUUAAGUUAGAAGGGUUGUUGAUUAUUAUAUAUUUAUAUAUAUUUGGAUAGGUGAACUCAUACAAGUACUCUUGUUUAAUAUGGAUAUUAUUAUGGAACUAUGUUGCACUACCAUAUCUCAGGUUAUAUUAUUUUGAAUAUUUGAUUACUUACUAAUUUUUUAUCAUAUUUAUAUCUUGUUAUUGCAUUUGCCAUAUUGGAAAGAUGUGGUUGUUAAUUUGUUAUUGGGUUACUCUAUUGACAUUUGUCACAGAUAUCUUAAGUACAUUAUAAUAAUUCAGACCCUUAUUUCCUAUACAUUAUGAUUCUGGAAUUAGUUUGGAAUUUUGAUGUAAGUAUGUGUGAAUUCUUAAGUCUUUCAUAUUAUUUCCUCUAAGAAUUAGUCUGUGUGUACUAGGAUUUAGUGAAUACGUGGGUUCGAAGUUGUUGUUCGGUACGUGGCCAGUGCUGUUCGAUUAAAUUUCGUAAUCUAUGUCUUUCAUGGCUGAGUAUGCAGAUGUUUAUUUAUCAUAAUAUUUCUGGUCAGGAAAUGCCUGCAGCAUGUCCUAACUAUUCUUGUCUAAUUAGUCCAAUUAUUCCAGUUACAUAUUUACAAUUUGAUAGGGAAGUAUUUAGUUUAUAUUUUAUCUCGUACUUCAUAGUAUGUUUGUUGUUGACUAUCCUUAUACGCAGUAGGUUUGUUAAGUCAGUAUUUGGAGUGUUUAGACAAAUGAGUUGUUCAUCAGAGUAUAUUCCCACUUCUUUCCUUAGGCAUUAGUUGCUAUUCAGAUUCUGGAAUAUUUCCUGAAUAAUUCCACGUAUGUGAGAACGCAUGAAUUUGCAGUUUUAUUUAAAAUUGUGCUUGUUCUCGUCAAUUUUUUUUCUUAUCACUUAUCCUAUUUUUUUUUCCUAUCACCUAUCACAUAUUUUUUUUGCCUAUCACUUAUCAUAGUGUCAUAGAACUUAUGAGUUCAUCAUUUAUUCUUUUUCUUUCUUACUUAUUCUUACAUUAUUAGUACCUUAUCUGAGUCUGGUUAUUCUCAUACAUCUGUUGUAGCAACAUGCUAUAGUUCGCGAAUACCAGCAUGAAUUAAGUUAUGUAUUUUCUAGAAUACUUUAGUCAAUACACUUUAGGUAUUUAUCUUACCUUUGAUUUAGUUUGGUUACCUCUGUGUUACUUAGUCUGUUAGUAAUUUUUUUUUCUGACUUAUUUUGGAUUACUUAGUUUAGAUAGGUUCAUAUUACCGGAUGAGGGUGUAUGUAGACCUAAUUUAUUUAUUUUGUUCAGUAUUAGUUACCAUUGGAUCCAAUAAUUUAGUUUAUUUAGUAUUAGUAAGAAUUGGUCCAUAAAUUUGCCUGAUCGUUCUUCUUUGGAUAUACUCCUAUAUAAAUCUGGUGUCCAUUGAUAGUCCGAUUCUGGAUAAGUGUCCGAUUCUUCAUUUAUUUUGUGUAUUUGGUUGGAUAGGUUCGUAUUACCGGAUGUGGGUGUACGUAGACCUGAUCUGUUUAUGUGGAUUAGUAUUGGUGUGAAUUGGUCCAUAAAUUUGCCUGGUCGUUCUUCUUUGGAUAUUCCUUUUAUGAAUCUGGUGUCCACUGAUAGUCCGACUUUGGAUUAAGUGUCCGAUUCCACAUUUAUUUUGGUUAUUGAGUUUUGGAUUCCUUUGGUAUGUUCAGUAUUGGUAUUAUUUGGCAUUGGUGAGAAUUGUUCCCUAAAUCUUCCUGAUUGUUCUUCUCUGGAUAUACUAUUAUGAAUCUGGUGUCCAUUGUUAGUUCAAUUUUGGAUUGGGUGUUCAAUUCUUUACUUAUUUUAGUUACUGAUUUUUUUUAUUCACUUUGAUAUAUUUACUUGUGAUAUGGUUCGAAUUGGCUCACACCUUUUCCUGGUUGUUCCGUCCUUGGAUAUAUCCUUUAUAAAUCUGAUGUCCAUGGAUAGUUCAAUUUUGGUUUGGUGCCCAAUUCGACACUUAGCAUUAUUAUGAACUUUAGUGCAAUAUUUAGUUCUGUUUUGACUUUUAAGCAAUAUUAUGUCAAUAUUUGGUAGCAGAGAGUAACAUAGUAACAUUUUAGUAUGAGUUUGAGUCAUGUAUUGAUUUAUUUUUCCUUGACCAUUAGUUUAUGCUUAGUGGUAACCUUGCGAAUAAACGUGGAUUGUUAGACUAUUGUAAAUUUAGUUGUUAAUAUUUUGAGGUUUAAAAAAAAAAUUUCUUUGAUACAUUUUUUUUUCCCGAGUAGAAGGGGAUUGUAACGGUCACGUUACUAACUUAACUCUUUAAUUAUUUUUAUAAUUAUUUUCCUUCGCUCUCCCAUUUAAAUUCUCUAAUUCCUCGUAUAGGACCACUGACGUGACGUCAUACCUCGGUGAUGGAACAUACUCCACCUAUCGAGAAUUAUUUCGCGUUCGGUGAGUUUGACGUCGUACUCUUGGAAGGAGAGACGAAUGUUCAUCACUUGACCUGUGGCUGUAGGUGAAGUUGGUUGCUACCAUAGAAUAUUAGAAUGGCGGUUGGUUUUUUAUUUUAUAACAUCAGUGAAAAGAAAAAAAUUACCACAAAUGGUUUUCUACAGUAGGGUGGCAUGUGGGUAGAACAACCCCUCUUGGAAUCGGAAUAGAAAUCACCGGUAAUAAAACCUUUUUAUAAUAAUUUUUUUUGUUAGCCUUGAAUAUUAAAAUAUUAGUCCCAUUGUUAAAAUUUCUUAGUCAACUCAUUAUUUGGAUUUUAUGUAGAUUCGAUUAUUGAGUAUUCAUUCAAAGAAAAUUAUACAUUAAUAUUUUUUUGGUUAGACAUAACCAAACAUAUGCAGUCCUCAAAUUAAUAUUGGAAAUAAGUAUCAUUUCUCUGUAGGUUUUUGAAUAUCCAAUAUUUUAUAAAUUCAAUAUUUUUACAGAUAUUUCCUUAAAUUAAUCAUAUUCAAAUUACAAAUUCCAUGUCAUUUGUUCAUGUAUUCACACUCAAAAUAGUUCAAGGUUACUUGAGAUUGGUUUUUGUUACAUUUUUAAUGGUCGGUUUUUCUAUACUAUUGCUUCUAAAAAGUUCCUCAAUUAUUUCUUCUUCCCUUUACUUUUUGCUCAUGUUUGAAAUGAGAAAUAAAACUGGGAAUAUUUUUUUAGCCAUUUUGGAGUAACCACAUGGUGAACUCAUAGCCCUUUGACACCUAGGGAAACCACUACAGCCACAGUCAAGUCAUCAUGGGAAUACGUCUUUUUGGGAACAAGCUAUGGGAGCGUUCCAGCUCAAUUUUCGUCUUGGCACCUGGGCCUACAGGAGUCAUGGGGUCGCACCAUCCUGGUGCAUCAUUUUCUAGGAUGCAACCGCAACCUUGUUUGGGAACAUUUAGUGAGGUGUUGUAGUAACUAUUGGUUUUUUUAUAUUUCAGACUAUCUGUUAAAUACACUAUGUUUUUUUUCCAGAUUUAGGUUACCUCUGGUUUUUUUUUUGACAUAUUUGUAUAUUAGAUUAUUUGGUUCCCAAACUUUGUAUCUACGGUAACUUCUUGUGCACAGGAAUAAGCCUAGAGAAAAUUAGGUUUUUAAUACUUUAUUAUUGCUUUGAUAUUGGUUUAUGUAAUUCGGGUAAAUUUAUUUUGUAAUAUUACUAGCUUGUUUCCCAAAUAUUUUACUGUUAUUCGCUUUAUUCCAUUUGUUCGGUUAAUUUAGGUCAUCGUCGGUAUUUAUCUCAACUUCAUUUCUACUUUAGUCAAUUGUAUAUUUAACUUUAUUUAUUCAUUAUUGUAUUUUCCCUUAGUGAGGCUUGGGCCUAUUUAUUUGUAUUAUUUUCAUCUUUGUCGGUUUCAAUUCAGUUGUACGUAGCAGGCGUACUAUAACCAUUUGGUAGAAGACUUAUGUAAUUUUGUACCCUAUAUGUAAGUAAGAGGUACUAAUACCUGUAAUUUUGUAACAGAUAACAUUAUUGUUGUUAUCUUAGAGAUGACUUUUUGUAUAACUUAUGUCAUUUUAGAGUCACAUGAUAUACACUUUGUGUAACUCAGAGAUUGUCAAAAAUCUAGUAGUUAUUUUUAAUAAAUAUGUAUUUAUUUUGUA